ACCCUUGUGGAGGAGGACGCCGAAGGUGGGGCUAAUGACUGGGGUGAAGUCGUAACAAGGUAGCCGUACCGGAAGGUGCGGCUGGAUCACCUCCUAACAGGGAGACAACAAAAUGUUUAAUAUUAUUAUUUUGUCACCUUAGGUCGAUCGGUACCUCACGUUCUUAAUUUAUUAAGAAUUUCAUUUUCUAAGUUUUUCUAGGUCACACCCAUUAUUUUUCCUGGGCCAUUAGCUCAGGUGGUUAGAGCGCACCCCUGAUAAGGGUGAGGUCCCUGGUUCAAGUCCAGGAUGGCCCAUAUCUCUAUGUUGGGGGUAUAGCUCAGUUGGUAGAGCGCCUGCUUUGCAAGCAGGAUGUCAGCGGUUCGAGUCCGCUUACCUCCACUGAUUACCACCUCUUCCAUGAUUUGUAGAAAGGAAAUUUUUUGUGUUGUGAUCAUAAUUCUGAACGAAUCUAGCUUCCUAAUGAACCCAUUAAGAUGCUGGACUCAUUGAAUUAAUUUCAUUGUUUUCAGAGAACCUUGACAACUGCAUAGAUUAUUUUAAAGACAAUAAGCAUCUUUUAUGGUGCAGAUUUAUUAUUUGUGCGAAUGCAUUAAUAACAAUUCUAUUAAGCUGAUGCUUCAAUUUUUGAAGUUAUUGGUCAAGCUACAAAGGGCUCACGGAGGAUACCUAGGCACACAGA
RNAcentral lists this unclassified non-coding RNA (682 nucleotides) under uncultured Prochlorococcus sp. RNAcentral describes it as "partial may contain 16S ribosomal RNA, 16S-23S ribosomal RNA intergenic spacer, and 23S ribosomal RNA". The stretch from base 1 to 97 matches the Rfam family "Bacterial small subunit ribosomal RNA", at positions 1437 to 1533 of the family's 1533-position model. Lineage: Bacteria; Bacillati; Cyanobacteriota; Cyanophyceae; Synechococcales; Prochlorococcaceae. The record is from RNAcentral.